RNAcentral lists this RNase P RNA (309 nucleotides) under Polaribacter porphyrae. RNAcentral's name for it is "Bacterial RNase P class A". It matches the Rfam family "Bacterial RNase P class A". Rfam says of the family: Ribonuclease P (RNase P) is a ubiquitous endoribonuclease, found in archaea, bacteria and eukarya as well as chloroplasts and mitochondria. The record is from Rfam by way of RNAcentral. Lineage: Bacteria; Pseudomonadati; Bacteroidota; Flavobacteriia; Flavobacteriales; Flavobacteriaceae.
UUAGCAGACUUAUCUUAUCGCCAGGCUUUUAGCCUGGAGGAAAGUCCGAACACCACAGAGUAUUCAUAGCGGAUAACAUCCGUCCAACGUAAGUUGAGGACAAGUGCAACAGAAAGCAAGUACAGGUAAUGCUGUAGUGAAACCAGGUAAACUCUAUGAGGUGCAAUGCCAUGUAUAUUAGAGCUUGAGAGUUACUCGCUCAAUUCUAAAGGGUAGGCAGUUAGAUUUUAAAAGUAAUUUUAAAACUAGAUAAAUGAUAAGAACCUAAAAAUUUAGGUACAGAAUUCGGCUUAUAAGUCUGCUUUUACU